Molecule: ribosomal RNA, 281 nt
Filed under: uncultured bacterium
Lineage: Bacteria
Description: partial 16S ribosomal RNA
Rfam family: Bacterial small subunit ribosomal RNA
Source: RNAcentral
AACGAACGCUGGCGGCAGGCCUAACACAUGCAAGUCGAACGCCCCGCAAGGGGAGUGGCAGACGGGUGAGUAACACGUGGGAACGUACCCUUCGGUUCGGGAUAACUCAGGGAAACUUGAGCUAAUACCGGAUACGUCCGAGAGGAGAAAGAUUUAUCGCCGAGGGAUCGGCCCGCGUCUGAUUAGCUUGUUGGUGAGGUAACGGCUCACCAAGGCGACGAUCAGUAGCUGGUCUGAGAGGAUGAUCAGCCACAUUGGGACUGAGACACGGCCCAAACUCC